ACUCAAAUGAAUUGACGGGGGUCCGCACAAGCGGUGGAACAUGUGGUUUAAUUCGACACUACGCGAGGAACCUUACCUAGGCUUGACAUGUAUUUGCCCGCUGUAGAAAUACAGUUUUCUGGGUCUUUGAUCCAGACGAAUACACAGGUGCUGCAUGGCUGUCGUCAGCUCGUGUCGUGAGAUGUUCGGUUAAGUCCUCUAACGAGCGCAACUCUCGCUGUCAGUUGCUAUCCUUCGGGAGCACUCUGAUGGGACUGCCUGGGAAACCAGGAGGAAGGUGGGAAUGACGUCAAGUCCUCAUGGCCCUUAUGUCUAGGGCUACACACGUGUUACAAUGGCCGGCACAAAGAGCAGCGAAUCUGUAAAGAUGAGCUAAUCUCAAAAAACCGGUCUAAGUUCGGAUUGAGGUCUGCAAUUCGACCUCAUGAAGCUGAAAUCGCUAGUAAUCGCGCAUCAGAACGGCGCGGUGAAUACGUUCUCGGGCCUUGUACACACCGCCCGU
RNAcentral lists this ribosomal RNA (502 nucleotides) under uncultured bacterium. RNAcentral's name for it is "partial 16S ribosomal RNA". It matches the Rfam family "Bacterial small subunit ribosomal RNA", at positions 899 to 1397 of the family's 1533-position model. The record is from RNAcentral.